UUCCUGGUGGCUAAGAUGGUAAAGCAUCUGCCUUCAAUGUGGGAGGCCUGGGUUUGAUCCCUGGUUGGGAAG
RNAcentral lists this transfer RNA (72 nucleotides) under Bos indicus x Bos taurus (hybrid cattle). It matches the Rfam family "tRNA". From Rfam's summary of the family: Transfer RNA (tRNA) molecules are approximately 80 nucleotides in length. Their secondary structure includes four short double-helical elements and three loops (D, anti-codon, and T loops). The record is from Rfam by way of RNAcentral. Lineage: Eukaryota; Metazoa; Chordata; Mammalia; Artiodactyla; Bovidae.